RNAcentral lists this ribosomal RNA (229 nucleotides) under uncultured bacterium. RNAcentral's name for it is "partial 16S ribosomal RNA". It matches the Rfam family "Bacterial small subunit ribosomal RNA", at positions 568 to 796 of the family's 1533-position model. The record is from RNAcentral.
CAUGUAGGCGGUCUGUCAAGUCGGACGUGAAAGCCCGGGGCUCAACCCCGGAACUGCGCUCGAAACUGCCUCGCUAGAGUCCCGGAGAGGAGGGCGGAAUUCCCGGUGUAGAGGUGAAAUUCGUAGAUAUCGGGAGGAACACCAGCGGCGAAGGCGGCCCUCUGGACGGUGACUGACGCUCAGACGCGAAAGCGUGGGGAGCAAACAGGAUUAGAUACCCUGGUAGUCC